RNAcentral lists this ribosomal RNA (504 nucleotides) under uncultured bacterium. RNAcentral's name for it is "partial 16S ribosomal RNA". It matches the Rfam family "Bacterial small subunit ribosomal RNA", at positions 29 to 523 of the family's 1533-position model. The record is from RNAcentral.
AUUGAACGCUGGCGGCAGGCCUAACACAUGCAAGUCGAACGGUAGCACAGAGAGCUUGCUCUCGGGUGACGAGUGGCGGACGGGUGAGUAACGUCUGGGAAACUGCCCGAUGGAGGGGGAUAACUACUGGAAACGGUAGCUAAUACCGCAUAACGUCGCAAGACCAAAGUGGGGGACCUUCGGGCCUCACACCCUCGGAUGGGCCCAGAUGGGAUUAGCUAGUAGGUGGGGUAAUGGCUCACCUAGGCGACGAUCCCUAGCUGGUCUGAGAGGAUGACCAGCCACACUGGAACUGAGACACGGUCCAGACUCCUACGGGAGGCAGCAGUGGGGAAUAUUGCACAAUGGGCGCAAGCCUGAUGCAGCCAUGCCGCGUGUAUGAAGAAGGCCUUCGGGUUGUAAAGUACUUUCAGCGGGGAGGAAGGCGGUGAAGUUAAUAGCUUCACCGAUUGACGUUACCCGCAGAAGAAGCACCGGCUAACUCCGUGCCAGCCGCCGCGGUAA